This 874-nucleotide ribosomal RNA is filed under the name Mentissa canalifera. RNAcentral describes it as "partial 16S ribosomal RNA". The record is from RNAcentral. Lineage: Eukaryota; Metazoa; Mollusca; Gastropoda; Stylommatophora; Clausiliidae.
UUUAACUAAAGAGAAUAUAUUUUAUAAACUCCCGAAGUAAGAAGAUCUAAUUAUUUAUGUUUCCGAUUUUUUGAGUAGUAAUGUAUAGUGUAGCAUAACUAUCUAAAGAGAAAUAAUUAGGGGUGAAAGGCUAUCCAAUUCUUAUUGAUAUCUGGAUUAAAUCAAAAAAUAUUUAGUAUUAUUAGGUCAUUUUUACAACACUAAGAUUGUAAAAUCUAAAGAGUGUAUAUUGUACCCUUGUUAGAUGCGUUAUUAAUAUAAAGGCAUAACUAACCAUAAAAAAUAUCUUUAUAAUUAACUUUUGUUUUAUAGGUUUAUUUGUUUAAUAAUAUUUUGAAAAUUUUAAUAGUGUUUAAAUGAGUAUAUAUAUUAUAAAACUAUAAGGAACUCGGCAAACUCAUCCCUCAACUGUUUAUCAAAAACAUAGCUAGUUGAGUAUUAUAAUUAGUAGUUCUCUGCCCGGUGAGUUUUUAACGGCCGCAGUACACUGACUGUGCAAAGGUAGCGUAAUAAUUUGGCUUUUAAAUGAAGUCGAGUAUGAAUGAGUGAAUGGGGGAAUGCUGUCUUAUAAUUUUUAUUUAAAAUUUACUUAGGAAGUGAAAAUUCUUUCAGGUUUAAUCAAAAGACGAGAAGACCCUAAAAAUUUUUACUAAAGGUGUAAAAUAUUUCUUUUAUGUUUUUGUUGGGGCAACAGGUUACUAUUUAAAAGUAGCUAUAGAUAUUAUAUUUUUAUAACGAGUUUUACUAAUAUUAAUCAAAUUACUUUAGGGAUAACAGCAUAAUUUUAUUAAAAAGAUUGUGACCUCGAUGUUGGAUUAGGAUCUAUUUAAAUUAACCGUUUAAAUAGCUGGUUCUGUUCGAACUAUGGUUUCCU